UUGAAAGUAUCAUAUUUUAAUGUCCUAUAAUUACAAUAUAGUUAUGUGUAACAAUUACACCUUUCAGU
This 68-nucleotide transfer RNA is filed under the name Clavelina lepadiformis (light-bulb sea squirt). Its description in RNAcentral is "tRNA-Val". Lineage: Eukaryota; Metazoa; Chordata; Ascidiacea; Aplousobranchia; Clavelinidae. The record is from RNAcentral.